GGAUGUGAGAGCCAUCUGGCUGUGAUAUCUGUCACCCCAUUGUUCAGCAGGGUCGAUUCAGCUGAACUGGCUGACUAGGCGGGUGUCCCCUUCCUCCCACACCACUCUAUGUGCCUUCCUUACAAGGCUGCGACUUGGUGGGAGAGCAUGGCCACCCCUGAUAGAGGAUUGUUCUGCUGUCAAGGGUGAACAAGUAUCUGCAUUCUCCUGCUAGAACCUCCAAAGAAGCUCUCAAAAAUUCUCUUUUACUGUUGUACAUAUACUGUAUCUUUACAUUUUAAGUCUAAACAAUUA
This 294-nucleotide small nuclear RNA is filed under the name Octodon degus (degu). RNAcentral describes it as "7SK RNA (ENSODEG00000023130.1)". It matches the Rfam family "7SK RNA". From Rfam's summary of the family: 7SK was discovered as an abundant small nuclear RNA in the mid-70s but a possible function has only recently been suggested. The record is from Rfam by way of RNAcentral. Lineage: Eukaryota; Metazoa; Chordata; Mammalia; Rodentia; Octodontidae.